This 72-nucleotide transfer RNA is filed under the name Marmota monax (woodchuck). It matches the Rfam family "tRNA". From Rfam's summary of the family: Transfer RNA (tRNA) molecules are approximately 80 nucleotides in length. Their secondary structure includes four short double-helical elements and three loops (D, anti-codon, and T loops). The record is from Rfam by way of RNAcentral. Lineage: Eukaryota; Metazoa; Chordata; Mammalia; Rodentia; Sciuridae.
UGUGGUGUAGCUCCGUGGUAUGGCACUUGCCUAGCAUGCAAGAGGCCCUGGGUUUGAUCCCCAGCAUCAUAA